AGAGUUUGAUCCUGGCUCAGGACGAACGCUGGCGGCGUGCUUAACACAUGCAAGUCGAACGGAAAGGCCCUGCUUUUGUGGGGUGCUCGAGUGGCGAACGGGUGAGUAACACGUGAGUAACCUGCCCUUGACUUUGGGAUAACUUCAGGAAACUGGGGCUAAUACCGGAUAGGAGCUCCUGCUGCAUGGUGGGGGUUGGAAAGUUUCGGCGGUUGGGGAUGGACUCGCGGCUUAUCAGCUUGUUGGUGGGGUAGUGGCUUACCAAGGCUUUGACGGGUAGCCGGCCUGAGAGGGUGACCGGCCACAUUGGGACUGAGAUACGGCCCAGACUCCUACGGGAGGCAGCAGUGGGGAAUAUUGCACAAUGGGCGGAAGCCUGAUGCAGCAACGCCGCGUGCGGGAUGACGGCCUUCGGGUUGUAAACCGCUUUCGCCUGUGACGAAGCGUGAGUGACGGUAAUGGGUAAAGAAGCACCGGCUAACUACGUGCCAGCAGCCGCGGUGAUACGUAGGGUGCGAGCGUUGUCCGGAUUUAUUGGGCGUAAAGGGCUCGUAGGUGGUUGAUCGCGUCGGAAGUGUAAUCUUGGGGCUUAACCCUGAGCGUGCUUUCGAUACGGGUCGACUUGAGGAAAGGUAGGGGAGAAUGGAAAUUCCUGGUGGAGCGGUGGAAUGCGCAGAUAUCAGAGGAACACCAGUGGCGAAAGCGGUUCUCUGGGCCUUUCCUGACGCUGAGGAGCGAAAGCGUGGGGAGCGAACAGGCUUAGAUACCCUGGUAGUCCACGCUGUAAACGGUGGGUACUAGGUGUGGGGUCCAUUUCCACGGGUUCCGCGCCGUAGCUAACGCUUUAAGUACCCCGCCUGGGGAGUACGGCCGCAAGGCUAAAGCUCAAAGGAAUUGACGGGGCCCCGCACAAGCGGCGGAGCAUGCGGAUUAAUUCGAUGCAACGCGUAGAACCUUACCUGGGUUUGACAUGGAUCGGGAGUGCUCAGAGAUGGGUGUGCCUCUUUUGGGGUCGGUUCACAGGUGGUGCAUGGCUGUCGUCAGCUCGUGUCGUGAGAUGUUGGGUUAAGUCCCGCAACGAGCGCAACCCUUGUUCACUGUUGCCAGCACGUUAUGGUGGGGACUCAGUGGAGACCGCCGGGGUCAACUCGGAGGAAGGUGGGGAUGACGUCAAGUCAUCAUGCCCCUUAUGUCCAGGGCUUCACGCAUGCUACAAUGGCUGGUACAGAGAGUGGCGAGCCUGUGAGGGUGAGCGAAUCUCGGAAAGCCGGUCUCAGUUCGGAUUGGGGUCUGCAACUCGACCUCAUGAAGUCGGAGUCGCUAGUAAUCGCAGAUCAGCAACGCUGCGGUGAAUACGUUCCCGGGGCUUGUACACACCGCCCGUCAAGUCAUGAAAGUUGGUAACACCCGAAGCCGGUGGCCUAACCGUUGUGGGGGAGCCGUCGAAGGUGGGACUGGUGAUUAGGACUAAGUCGUAACAAGGUAGCCGUACCGGAAGGUGCGGCUGGAUCACCUCCU
Molecule: ribosomal RNA, 1518 nt
Filed under: uncultured Propionibacterium sp.
Lineage: Bacteria; Bacillati; Actinomycetota; Actinomycetes; Propionibacteriales; Propionibacteriaceae
Description: 16S ribosomal RNA
Rfam family: Bacterial small subunit ribosomal RNA
Source: RNAcentral